This 679-nucleotide ribosomal RNA is filed under the name uncultured Bacilli bacterium. Its description in RNAcentral is "bacterial SSU rRNA". It matches the Rfam family "Bacterial small subunit ribosomal RNA", at positions 61 to 720 of the family's 1533-position model. Lineage: Bacteria; Bacillati; Bacillota; Bacilli. The record is from RNAcentral.
GUCGAACGAGAGCGACCGGUGCUUGCACUGGUCAAUCUAGUGGCGAGCGGGUGAGUAACACGUGGGUAACCUGCCCAUCAGAGGGGGAUAACAUUCGGAAACGGAUGCUAAAACCGCAUAGGUCCUUUAACCGCAUGGUUGAAGGAGGAAAAGAGGCGCAAGCUUCUGCUGAUGGAUGGACCCGCGGUGCAUUAGCUAGUUGGUGAGGUAACGGCUCACCAAGGCCGUGAUGCAUAGCCGACCUGAGAGGGUGAUCGGCCACAUUGGGACUGAGACACGGCCCAAACUCCUACGGGAGGCAGCAAGUAGGGAAUCUUCCGCAAUGGACGCAAGUCUGACGGAGCAACGCCGCGUGAGUGAAGAAGGUUUUCGGAUCGUAAAACUCUGUUGUUAGAGAAGAACAAGUGCUAGAGUAACUGUUAGCGCCUUGACGGUAUCUAACCAGAAAGCCACGGCUAACUACGUGCCAGCAGCCGCGGUAAUACGUAGGUGGCAAGCGUUGUCCGGAUUUAUUGGGCGUAAAGCGAGCGCAGGCGGUUCCUUAAGUCUGAUGUGAAAGCCCCCGGCUCAACCGGGGAGGGUCAUUGGAAACUGGGGAACUUGAGUGCAGAAGAGGAGAGUGGAAUUCCAUGUGUAGCGGUGAAAUGCGUAAAUAUAUGGAGGAACACCAGUGGCGAAG